RNAcentral lists this small nuclear RNA (107 nucleotides) under Chinchilla lanigera (long-tailed chinchilla). Lineage: Eukaryota; Metazoa; Chordata; Mammalia; Rodentia; Chinchillidae. The record is from RNAcentral.
ACUUUGUUAGCACAUAUUGUAUACUAAAAUUGGAAUGAUACACAGAAGGCUAGUACAGACCAUGCUCAAGGAUGACAUGCAAAAAAAGUGAAGAUUGAAGCUGUUCU